Molecule: ribosomal RNA, 503 nt
Filed under: uncultured bacterium
Lineage: Bacteria
Description: partial 16S ribosomal RNA
Rfam family: Bacterial small subunit ribosomal RNA
Source: RNAcentral
AGUGAACGCUGGCGGUAGGCCAAACACAUGCAAGUCGAACGGCAGCACAGAGGAGCUUGCUCCUUGGGCGAGUGGCGGACGGGUGAGGAAUACAUCGGAAUCUACUCUGUCGUGGGGGAUAACGUAGGGAAACUUACGCUAAUACCGCAUACGACCUACGGGUGAAAGCAGGGGACCUUCGGGCCUUGCGCGAUUGAAUGAGCCGAUGUCGGAUUAGCUAGUUGGCGGGGUAAAGGCCCACCAAGGCGACGAUCCGUAGCUGGUCUGAGAGGAUGAUCAGCCACACUGGAACUGAGACACGGUCCAGACUCCUACGGGAGGCAGCAGUGGGGAAUAUUGGACAAUGGGCGCAAGCCUGAUCCAGCCAUACCGCGUGGGUGAAGAAGGCCUUCGGGUUGUAAAGCCCUUUUGUUGGGAAAGAAAUCCAGCUGGCUAAUACCCGGUUGGGAUGACGGUACCCAAAGAAUAAGCACCGGCUAACUUCGUGCCAGCAGCCGCGGUAA